UGCCAUUUCCCCGUUCCCCAUCUCACACCCUCUCCCGGCGACGAGCCAAAUCCCGCAUGAAAUCCCUAGCUUCGCCGCGAGCGUGGGAGACGACAGAGCCGGCGGUGAGUCUAAUUCAACGAGCGCGGUGACGGCCUGGCGAAGGAUCCCGUAGCAGUUCGACGGGGCGAGGGCGGCGCGCACGUGCCGUACAAGGAGGAGAAGGCAGCGGCGACGGGGGAGGGGGGUGGAGAUGGUGGUUCAGCGUGAGGCAGCGACGAGCACCCGGAGAGCAAGAUCCCGCUUGCUUCGAUGACCUAGGCAAGGCAAGGGCACCUCUUUUUUUAUUUUUUCACCAACACCCCUCCGGGCAGUGACAAAAUCACAAUACUUGAUGUCGCCCCAAUAUCAUAAGCCCCACCUCUCGACCUUGAAGCAGGGCUGAGGCCAAAGAAGAGAUUAAUGCCACUACGAGUAGCUGUAUCAUUUCCGACACUCGAGAUUCUGGACAAGGAGAUCCAAAGGAGAUAGGGCAUUAUUGGCUAAUGGUGCUGAACAUCAAGGACAAGCAUUCGAGGUACUGGACUCGGCAAGGACGUUCAAGGACAAGGCAUUAGUAGAAAAUGCAAACAAAAUCAUGAAGGGCAUUAAAAUAACCUGGGAGAGGCACUACAACAAGUCAAGUGUGCAGAAUGCAGAUUGGAAACUCCACGAAAUCAAGUGCACAAAGCAGGAUAACAG
Long non-coding RNA from Triticum dicoccoides, 720 nucleotides. RefSeq lists it as uncharacterized. The record is from RefSeq and is a predicted model, not a curated record. The transcript is spliced from 3 exons. NCBI's taxonomy places the organism in Eukaryota, Viridiplantae, Streptophyta, Magnoliopsida, Poales, Poaceae.